RNAcentral lists this ribosomal RNA (497 nucleotides) under uncultured bacterium. Its description in RNAcentral is "partial 16S ribosomal RNA". It matches the Rfam family "Bacterial small subunit ribosomal RNA", at positions 28 to 507 of the family's 1533-position model. The record is from RNAcentral.
GAUGAACGCUGGCGGCGUGCCUAAUACAUGCAAGUCGAGCGAACAGACGAGGAGCUUGCUCCUUUGACGUUAGCGGCGGACGGGUGAGUAACACGUAGGUAACCUACCUAUAAGACUGGGAUAACUUCGGGAAACCGGAGCUAAUACCGGAUAAUAUUUCGAACCGCAUGGUUCGAUAGUGAAAGAUGGCUUUGCUAUCACUUAUAGAUGGACCUGCGCCGUAUUAGCUAGUUGGUAAGGUAACGGCUUACCAAGGCAACGAUACGUAGCCGACCUGAGAGGGUGAUCGGCCACACUGGAACUGAGACACGGUCCAGACUCCUACGGGAGGCAGCAGUAGGGAAUCUUCCGCAAUGGGCGAAAGCGUGACGGAGAAACGCCGCGUGAGUGAAGAAGGCCUUCGGAUCGUAAACCUCUGUUAUUAGGGAAGAACAAAUGUGUAAGUAACUGUGCCCGUCUUGACGGUACCUAACCAAAAAGCCACGGCUAACUACGUG